GUCGAGGGGCAGCAUAAUGGAUAGCAAUAUCUAUGGUGGCGACCGGCGCACGGGUGCGUAACGCGUAUGCAACCUACCUUUAACAGGGGGAUAACACUGAGAAAUUGGUACUAAUACCCCAUAAUAUCAUAGAAGGCAUCUUUUAUGGUUGAAAAUUCCGAUGGUUAGAGAUGGGCAUGCGUUGUAUUAGCUAGUUGGUGGGGUAACGGCUCACCAAGGCGACGAUACAUAGGGGGACUGAGAGGUUAACCCCCCACACUGGUACUGAGACACGGACCAGACUCCUACGGGAGGCAGCAGUGAGGAAUAUUGGUCAAUGGACGCAAGUCUGAACCAGCCAUGCCGCGUGCAGGAUGACGGCUCUAUGAGUUGUAAACUGCUUUUGUACGAGGGUAAACGCAGAUACGUGUAUCUGUCUGAAAGUAUCGUACGAAUAAGGAUCGGCUAACUCCGUGCCAGCAGCCGCGGUAAUACGGAGGAUUCAAGCGUUAUCCGGAUUUAUUGGGUUUAAAGGGUGCGUAGGCGGUUUGAUAAGUUAGAGGUGAAAUUUCGGGGCUCAACCCUGAACGUGCCUCUAAUACUGUUGAGCUAGAGAGUAGUUGCGGUAGGCGGAAUGUAUGGUGUAGCGGUGAAAUGCUUAAAGAUCAUACAGAACACCGAUUGCGAAGGCAGCUUACCAAACUAUAUCUGACGUUGAGGCACG
RNAcentral lists this ribosomal RNA (703 nucleotides) under uncultured bacterium. RNAcentral's name for it is "bacterial SSU rRNA". It matches the Rfam family "Bacterial small subunit ribosomal RNA", at positions 61 to 755 of the family's 1533-position model. The record is from RNAcentral.